Molecule: long non-coding RNA, 475 nt
Organism: Hordeum vulgare subsp. vulgare (domesticated barley)
Lineage: Eukaryota; Viridiplantae; Streptophyta; Magnoliopsida; Poales; Poaceae
Exons: 2
Source: RefSeq, a predicted model, not a curated record
CGGUGGAGCCAGGGAGGCAUGACGGUGGACAUGUGGAUGUUAUCAUGGCAUUGAAAAAUUUCGCUCCACCGGCACUGCAUACCAACGUGAAGAUGCUGCAGACUAUGAAGUUUUCAGAGCUCAAACAUAAAACAAUGCAUAUUUUUGCAAAAACAAAUUGCUUUGUUCUGCCCCAACCAUCUUGAUAGAACUUUGGGAUCACCUAAAAGUUACAAGGCAUGCUUCCUGAUUUGUUCCAAUGAUACAAAAUCAUAAAUUGUUUUUAUCAUUGUCAAAUGUAGGCAGCUAUACUGUUGCAACAUUCAAGAGGGAAGUCUGCACUCAUUUUCUGUUCUACAAGAAAAAGGUGCACAAGAAGCAGCACAGUGCCUCUCAAAAACUGCACUCUCUUGGCUAUUGAACAAAUUCAUUCGUGAAAUCGAUGCAGCAGUAUGAAAAUCUAUGAGAAGCUUCAUUAACCUGUAGUUGUUGUUCA